This 1261-nucleotide long non-coding RNA is filed under the name Strigops habroptila (Kakapo). RNAcentral's name for it is "lncRNA (ENSSHBG00005020485.1)". The record is from RNAcentral. Lineage: Eukaryota; Metazoa; Chordata; Aves; Psittaciformes; Psittacidae.
UCUAGAAGGCGUUUACUGAUGUUAUCUUGCAUGUGAGCUGUUACAGAAAAAUAUGUGCUUUUUAACAAGGUGAGGCUGCAGCGCCCAAAUAUUAGCUGUUAGUUUGGCAGGUCCUAGCCUUCAAUUCUUGCCCCUAAACCAUGGGCCUUGCAGUGAACUGCGCUUGGCUCAUAGCUGGGACCAUCAUUGCAGUGCACCAGCCAGCACAGAAACCAGCAGCCCUUCUUACCAUACUCAACCACCAGACUGGGCUUCAGACUCUGGAGGGGCCUGGCUGGUUUUACCCUUUUCCUUUGUGCUGGGGCCACCAGCAGGAGAACCAGACUCUCUCCCUUCCGUUGGUCCCACAGGCAAUGGACCUGUGUGGUCCCAUGCUGGGGCUGUCAAUUAAAUCAUGUUUCCAUCCGAGCUGCUGCUUCUCAUAGGAGGUGUUCCCGUGGCGGAGGCCAGGCCACGUUCAUUGCGGUCAGUGCUCCCAUCUGCAAUGUGGACCUUUAAGGGUGCCAAGGGCCACUAAACAUGAGCUGUUACUCAGCUUUUUCCUUACCAAAAGAGAGUGCAGUGUUGGAUUUUGGUAGUUUAGGUGGGUAGCUGCUUUAUUUCCAUGUUCUAGAGAAGCCCAAGUGAGUAAUCCAAGAAUGCCUAGAAAGUUCAAGAAAAGGGAAUUACUGGGAUGUUGGAUCUGCAUCCACCUCCAGCAGUUGGUAGUCAGACGACCACAAGGGUGGCUGUGGCAGCGGCCUGGAGGCUUCACCCACAGCUCGCACCCGUGCACGGCUGCGAGGUGACAGGCCUUGUGCAACAGGUGACAGCAGAACUCGGCGGCAGAAGCGGGUCCAUGCUGGAGCUGGCCCGGGGCAGCCCUGGAUGCAGUGAAGACCUGCCGCUGCAGGCCCCGUGCGGGCUUUCACAGUCCGCAAGCGGCCCGGGGCUGCGGACACCCCGCGCUGCAGCGCCCGUCCCGGGAGCGCCGCCGCUGUCCGCCCCUCACCCUGCCGGGGCGCCCGGCCCUGGCCUGCCCUUGGAGGGACGGGGCCGAGCGAGGUCUCCGGUAACGUGCCCCCGCGGAGAGUCCGCUCAGCAACAGCUGUGGUGGCGGUAACGGCCGUUAAGAGCGGACAAAGCGUGAGCUGCCGGCCCGCGGCCGCUUGUGCCCUCUGCGCCGCCGUACGAGGCCGCUCCUUCCUCAAACAUGGCCGCCCCGGCAGAGCCCGCCUCACUCCGCCGUCCGUCGGCGCUGCCGUCGCCCGCCCGCCACCGG